This 1232-nucleotide ribosomal RNA is filed under the name metagenome. RNAcentral describes it as "bacterial SSU rRNA". It matches the Rfam family "Bacterial small subunit ribosomal RNA", at positions 255 to 1516 of the family's 1533-position model. The record is from RNAcentral.
AGGUAACGGCCCACCAAGGCGACGAUCGGUAGCCGGACUGAGAGGUUGAACGGCCACAUUGGGACUGAGACACGGCCCAGACUCCUACGGGAGGCAGCAGUGGGGAAUAUUGCACAAUGGGGGAAACCCUGAUGCAGCGACGCCGCGUGGAGGAAGAAGGUCUUCGGAUUGUAAACUCCUGUUGUUGAGGAAGAUAAUGACGGUACUCAACAAGGAAGUGACGGCUAACUACGUGCCAGCAGCCGCGGUAAAACGUAGGUCACAAGCGUUGUCCGGAAUUACUGGGUGUAAAGGGAGCGCAGGCGGGAAGACAAGUUGGAAGUGAAAUCCAUGGGCUUAACCCAUGAACUGCUUUCAAAACUGUUUUUCUUGAGUAGUGCAGAGGUAGGCGGAAUUCCCGGUGUAGCGGUGGAAUGCGUAGAUAUCGGGAGGAACACCAGUGGCGAAGGCGGCCUACUGGGCACCAACUGACGCUGAGGCUCGAAAGUGUGGGUAGCAAACAGGAUUAGAUACCCUGGUAGUCCACACCGUAAACGAUGAUUACUAGGUGUUGGAGGAUUGACCCCUUCAGUGCCGCAGUUAACACAAUAAGUAAUCCACCUGGGGAGUACGACCGCAAGGUUGAAACUCAAAGGAAUUGACGGGGGCCCGCACAAGCAGUGGAGUAUGUGGUUUAAUUCGACGCAACGCGAAGAACCUUACCAAGUCUUGACAUCCGUUGACCGACAUAGAAAUAUGUUUUUCCUUCGGGACAGCGAGACAGGUGGUGCAUGGUUGUCGUCAGCUCGUGUCGUGAGAUGUUGGGUUAAGUCCCGCAACGAGCGCAACCCUUAUGGUCAGUUACUACGCAAGAGGACUCUGGCCAGACUGCCGUUGACAAAACGGAGGAAGGUGGGGAUGACGUCAAAUCAUCACGCCCUUUAUGACUUGGGCUACACACGUACUACAAUGGCGUUAAACAAAGAGAAGCAAGACCGCGAGGUGGAGCAAAACUCAGAGACAACGUCCCAGUUCGGACUGCAGGCUGCAACUCGCCUGCACGAAGUCGGAAUUGCUAGUAAUCGUGGAUCAGCAUGCCACGGUGAAUACGUUCCCGGGCCUUGUACACACCGCCCGUCACACCAUGAGAGCCGGGGGGACCCGAAGUCGGUAGUCUAACCGCAAGGAGGACGCCGCCGAAGGUAAAACUGGUGAUUGGGGUGAAGUCGUAACAAGGUAACCGUACUAGUACG